Molecule: long non-coding RNA, 1335 nt
Organism: Cyprinus carpio (common carp)
Lineage: Eukaryota; Metazoa; Chordata; Actinopteri; Cypriniformes; Cyprinidae
Source: Ensembl
GGCUAUAUUUUUAUAUAAAAUAAUAAAAUGUUAAAUACACCAGUUUCAGUGUUGAUGAGGUAAUACAGAUAUAAACAAGAAUUUUAAACAUUAAAUAUAAAAAGUAUUUUGUCAAUAAAAAUAAAUAAAUUUCCUAUAUAUAUAUAUAUAUAUAUAUCAAUGAGAAAAAUCAUUGCUGAAGAGUCACUUAACAGAUAAGACUCAGUUAUGACUCCAGGGAGAAGGGGACUACCGUCGGGGCGUGGUUCAUACGAAAGCGAACCAAUAGCGGGCAGCGGGGGCGUGGCCUUCCCGCCCGUGACUCCGCCCCGACACUUGUGAACUCGAGCGUGAUUGAAAGCGGAGCUCCGCAGGUGAAGCGCUCUCUCUGUGUUCGGAGCUCAAACUGGAUCAGAUCUGAACUGACGCUGUUACAGGAUCAUCUGAGAGCCACUCUGUGUCAGAUCCAGGCUCAGAAUCGGAGCAGUCGCGCACAGAAUCCAGACCACAGCAGACAGACGACACACAGCUACCGGCAUCAGGACACAGCAGCCCGGUGAGAGCUCAGAAACAUCCCAUCAUCUCAGUCCAGCCUGUAGUGCUGUAGUGCUUCACUGUCAGAUCAGGAGCUAGUAGCAUGGUUAACUUUAUAGCUCAGUCACUAGGGAUCAGUGUUGGGGGGAGUUACUUUUAAAAGUAAUGCAUUACAAUAUUGCGCUGCUCCCUAAAAAAGUAACUAAUUUAGUUACUUAGUUACUUUUGAGUUACUUUUGAGUUACUUUUUAAAUCUGGGCAGGGCUUGCGUGUUCGUUUUUAAUAUUACAAAGUUCUUCUUUUACAAAUAUAAAACCCCUUUCACAUCAAAAGUGUUACUUAUUUGAAAAACUUUGAUAUUUCCUUCUAAAUUAAAAAGUAAUGCAUUACUUGUUACUUUAAGUAAUCUGAUUAUGUAAUGCGUUACCCCCAACACUGCUAGUGAUAGGUUGAAAAUAUCAAUAUCUUGAUUUUAAUCAGUUCUCGUUUUAAUGAACCAACGUCAGUUCUUAAAUCCCAAGAAUCAAUGCACGCUGCUUGAAACUGAUGCAUGAACAAAACUUAAUGAAACUUUAUGAACUUAAUGAAAGUGUUUGUAGCUCGUCCUCAUCCAAAAAAUCAGAAUAAUCUUUGUGCUUUGUUACUUUUGAGACAAAGUCUCUGCUUUCAGAUUCUGUCAGUUUUAUAAUGCAAUUCAAACAGUGAAUGUGCUUUUGUGGCUCUUUAAUGUGUGCUGACAGAUGGCUGUAGUGAAGCGAUCAUCUCUUCUUCUUUACUACUAGUUAUAGCAGCAAAUAAACGUGAAUGAACUUCAGAAGAACA